ACUGCUCAGUAACACGUGGAUAACCUGCCCUUGGGUCCGGCAUAACCCCGGGAAACUGGGGAUAAUUCCGGAUAACGCACAUAUGCUGGAAUGCUUUAUGCGUAAAAUGGAUUCGUCUGCCCAAGGAUGGGUCUGCGGCCUAUCAGGUAGUAGUGGGUGUAAUGUACCUACUAGCCUACAACGGGUACGGGUUGUGAGAGCAAGAGCCCGGAGAUGGAUUCUGAGACAUGAAUCCAGGCCCUACGGGGCGCAGCAGGCGCGAAAACUUUACAAUGCGGGAAACCGUGAUAAGGGGACACCGAGUGCCAGCAUCAUAUGCUGGCUGUCCAGGUGUGUAAAAUACACCUGUUAGCAAGGGCCGGGCAAGACCGGUGCCAGCCGCCGCGGUAACACCGGCGACCCGAGUGGUGAUCGUGAUUAUUGGGUCUAAAGGGUCCGUAGCCGGUUUGGUCAGUCCUCCGGGAAAUCUGACGGCUUAACCGUUAGGCUUUCGGGGGAUACUGCCAGGCUUGGAACCGGGAGAGGUAAGAGGUACUACAGGGGUAGGAGUGAAAUCUUGUAAUCCCUGUGGGACCACCUGUGGCGAAGGCGUCUUACCAGAACGGGUUCGACGGUGAGGGACGAAAGCUGGGGGCACGAACCGGAUUAGAUACCCGGGUAGUCCCAGCCGUAAACGAUGCUCGCUAGGUGUCAGGCAUGGCGCGACCGUGUCUGGUGCCGCAGGGAAGCCGUGAAGCGAGCCACCUGGGAAGUACGGCCGCAAGGCUGAAACUUAAAGGAAUUGGCGGGGGAGCAC
Molecule: ribosomal RNA, 796 nt
Filed under: uncultured archaeon
Lineage: Archaea
Description: bacterial SSU rRNA
Rfam family: Archaeal small subunit ribosomal RNA
Source: RNAcentral